Molecule: non-coding RNA, 84 nt
Filed under: unclassified sequences
Description: c-di-GMP-II sequence
Rfam family: Cyclic di-GMP-II riboswitch aptamer
Source: RNAcentral
UUAAAUUAGGGGAGCUGAGAAGUGUGGUCUGUAUCUGGACACUUGGGCCUCAUGGAGCUAAUAGUGUAACCUCCCCUCUUAAAA